Non-coding RNA from Camelina sativa (false flax), 162 nucleotides. The record is from RefSeq and is a predicted model, not a curated record. Lineage: Eukaryota; Viridiplantae; Streptophyta; Magnoliopsida; Brassicales; Brassicaceae.
GGUGAAUGAUAGUAGUAUGGUGUUGGAGUGUGAGUUGGCGGUGGUGGAGACUUGUAGACAUAGGUUGGAGUAGGAGGAGGUGGCGACUUGUAGACAUAAGUAGGGGUUGGUGGUGGUGGGGACUUGUAGACAUAUGUCGGAGUUGGUGGUGGUGGUGACUUG